This 8267-nucleotide long non-coding RNA is filed under the name Equus asinus (donkey). RNAcentral's name for it is "lncRNA (ENSEASG00005031267.1)". Lineage: Eukaryota; Metazoa; Chordata; Mammalia; Perissodactyla; Equidae. The record is from RNAcentral.
CGGGAGACCGCGGAUGGGCAGGGUCUGCGAAGGGGCGGCGGCCGGCAGGGACAAUGGGCACAGCUGCUGGCGAACGGCCCGGCCCUUCGCCGGCUGCAGCGGACACGUGUCGGUCGCUGCGUUUGGAGGGACGGACUUAAUGGUGGCCUCGCAGCGGGCGGAGCGGGACAGGUUUGCAAAGCAAAGCCCUCCCCGCAGGAUCUGGGGCUCACUCUGGCCCGGGAGCCCAGGACCGGAGGCCCAGGAAAGGGCGCAGGGGCACAGGACGCCCGGGACCCGCCCCUCCGGGUAGGGUCUGGGGGCGGAAAUCCUUCCUGGGACCCCCCAGCGGCGAGUGGGGACCGGACGCGGGUCCCGACCUGUGCCGGCGCUCACCUGGUGGCCCGCUCGGAGGCGGCGGCAGGCAAAGAUCCCCUUCCCCCCGCUGCUCCGGGAGGCGGGCGGGGGCUCCCCGGAUCGGCCCCCCAGGGAGCCCCGGGGCGGGCGGUCCUCCCCCGGGGGUGCUGGCGGCCGCGGCGGCUCUGGAUGCGGCCCGCCCUCCUCGGGCGGCUGUGCCGGCGGGCGGGACCCGGGAGCGCGGCGGGCGCCGGGCCGGGCCCAGCUGCCACGAGGCGGGCGGGGACCAGAGCCAGCCCCGCGCUCCCGGGUCUGGGGGCCCGCCCCUCGGGGAGCCUGCGCGGUCCCCACGUGGGGACCUGCGGCCCCGGCGCCCCGCGAUCUGACACCUGGGUCCCCGGCGCCCAGCCCGCCGCCUCCUCUGGGGACGCCCCCGGUUCCCCCAGGACCCCCAGACCCGGGUUUCUUUCUCACCCCGGCCUCCCGCCUCCAGCCGCCUCCGCCAUUCGCAACACCUCCCCACCAUCUGUCCCCUGCUCUUACGUGGCUUAGCUGAGACUGUGACGCUGGGCCUGGUUUGAAACACUGGAUCAGAGUUCCUCCCGCGGGGAUCCUCUCUAACUUACAUCGUGUCCCCAGAGCCUCGGAAACCCGGCCUGCUCCCACGCUGAGCCUCGCUACCCCGCUUACUUCUCUGCGGCCGCGACAACCUGUGCCCCCUGCUUUGGAAACCCGCCUCCCCCGCCUGUAUGACACACAACUGGAUUAACCCGAGGUUCAGGGCCAGCGAGGCCGAGGCCACCAGCUAUUUGUCCCCUGCCCUCUGCCCUUGGGCCCGCACCGUUCCUGCAUUGCCCUAGAUUGUCCAAAGGUCCUCAAGUGACUGCUCUCAGACAUCCCAGGGCCGGUCCCCUGAAUGCCAGGCCGCCCACCACGAGUAAAGCCUCGCUGGCACUCGCUCAUGGUGUGCACUGUGCGCGAUGCUUUAUAGGCACGACCCCAGGGACGCUCUCCUGGGAAACUGAGGCCCAGAGAAAUGUAGGCUCUGCACCCGGUGCAAGUCGCUUGCUUGGGGGGAGGGGGGGUGGUCACACGACAGGAAAGUGUUCGGGCGUGGGUUCCCCGGUCCCCUCCGCUAGGAGCUUCUGCAAGGGACCCCAGCGCCAUUGCCAGGACCGCGUGGGAUCCCGCGUGCAGCGCCGAGGGAUCCUUACCUCUCCGUCACCUGGACCCACCGCCUUUCCGAGCAUUUCUGUCGCAGAAGGCGAUAGGAGGCAUAUACCGUACACAGAGUUCUGCAAUAGUCCCAGCAGAGUGACGGCCGUGCUCCGUGAUCUCGCGAUGUUUCUGCUUCAAAGCGCGUCUGGAGAGGAGCACACGCGUAGCGGAGGAAUAGAAGUUAUAAAUCCCCCCGAUGUCGCUUCAGUCGGGUCUUACUGGGUGGAGAGCUGGGGGCCUAAUUGGUGAAGAAAGUUUGCUUGCGGACUGGAGAUAAUAGCAAUGACUUUUUCUUUCUUUUAUUGAUACCAUCAAUAAGCGCCUGCUGUGCACCAGAUGCAGACCGCAUGGAUGAUGUGGGUUUACAGGCACCAUGCGAUUUAUGUCAAUAAAGGAUACCAGCUUAUUUUAGAUGAGUUAGAAAAAUCACAGGGGACUCCAGUAAAAUAAUUGGAUCAUCAAAGGAUGCUAAAACCAUUGGUAAAGGUUGUUGCGGAACAUUCUAGAAUCAUCCCCCCCCCCAGAUGACUUAUUCAUUACAAAGGGGAAAAAAUGUACCUACCUAGUGAGGGGGAGUGGGUUCUGGCAGACACCCUCUUAACCGAGUGAUCAAUAUCCCCAAAGUGGGACAGCGUGACAUCAAGUCAAGUGCCUCUUGAUGUGAAACUAUAGGAAGUACACAAAAGUGCCUAUGCGGAACUCUUGUAAAAAAAAAAAAAAAAAGCUAAACCUGUGUUUAGUAAUGAAGGAUAUACCCAAGAUAACUGGCCAGGGCUUUUUUCAAAAAAAGAGACGUAACACCCAAAUGCGGUGUGCACGGUGACCGGGUCCCGGCUGGGCCGUUCGCUCUGGGUGCUCUCUUGCUCUGCUGGUUUCUUCUCCUGUCUGGUGCUGCUCUCCUGCUCCUAGCCAUUCUCCAAGGAGAGGCGAGGCCACUGCCUGGAGGUGAUGGCGGUGUGCUUUCUGCUGGAAGCCUGGGCCUGUUUUCCUCUGCCCUUGAGUUGGAGCAUGAAUGGCAGCUUUGUGGCCGGGUGUGGGGCUAGCCGCCAGGCUGGCCUCACAUGUGGGUUGGUGAGGCCAGGAGCCCACUUCCUGCCACCCCUCCCUUCUACCACAAGUGCCAGAAGAGGACUGGCUUUUUUAAGAAGCCAGCCCCUCCCUCGUUCCCACCUCAGCUGUCAGAGAGUUGGGUCUUCUUAGGGAUCCACCCUGCAGUCCUUGUUUUCCUCGACGUGAGUGGGGGGUGGCCUGUGCCCUGGAGAAAGGGGACGUGGGAUGGUGCACAAAAUGCAGGCAGGCUGUCAUCGGGGCCGUCUUGGCUAUCUUUUCUCACUCCUGCCUCCUCCCCACAACCCAGGUGAUGCUGGGUUCCCUCUUGCGGGCAGCCCUCUCCUGAAUGACCUCUGAUUCCUGUCCCCACGCCUCUACCUGAUUUGUCUGCCAGAACUGUGUGGGCAUCUCCCCAGUGGAGAUGGUCUCUGUGGGUCAUUGACUAAUGGUCCCCUAAAGAUGUCCACGCCUGGAUCCUUGGAACCUGCGAAUGUUCCCUUACAUGGCAAAAGGGAUAUUGCAGAUGGAGGAGGUGAAGGAUCUUGAAACGGGGAGGUUAACCUGGUUUCUCUGGGCGGGUCCUGAAUGGAAUCCCAGUGGUCCUCCUAAGAGGGGGACAGGAGGAGGCGGGGAUGGCAGUGGACAACAGAAGCAGAGAUUGCAGUGACGAGAUGUGAAGAGCGAGGAAGAGGCCACCAGCCCAGGAAGAAAGGUGGAAGAAACCAGGAAGAAAGGUGGCCGCUAGACACUGAAAAAGGCAAGGACACGGAUUCCCCACUCAGCAUCUCCAGAAGGGACCAACCGGGCCAACACCUUGACUUCAGCCCAGUGAAACUGACUUGGAACUUUUAACUCCCAGAACGCUAAAAGAAUACAUUGUGUUGUUUUAAGGCACUAAGCUGAUGGCAAUUUGUUCCAGCAGCCACAGGAAAGAACACAGUCUCCUUCUCAAUCUUUUUGCCGUUGUCAGUUGACUUGCUUUUUUAUUCCACUGCUUUAUACAAAUGAGAGAGUGUAAGGACACUCUGAGAUGGCGGGCUCCGGGUCAGACCUUAUCUCUUGGUGACACCCCUAAUUCCUGAGCUCCCCAAGGCAAGUCUCUGUGUUGUCAGUUUCCUUAUGGUGUGAGGAUCAAGUCGGACGAUGCCGAAGUCACGGGUUGGCAGCCUCCAGUUUAGAGUAGACCCACAGGUAUGUUUUGUGUCACUUUCAGUUUUGUAAAGUUUCUCAUUGUAUUUCUUUUGAAUAGGAGAAUACAUUUACACUGUGUACAAUUUAAAAAGUAUAAAAAGAGGUUUCCAGUGCUAAUCUCUCUUCUACUGCUGCCCUCAGCUACUCCAGGUUUUCCCUCGAUUCUGAUAGAUUCUUGCAGAAAUUUUCUAUAUGUAGACCAGGAAUUUCACACACACACACUGUAAACAGUAACAUACCAUAUACUCCUUGUUCGACACUUUGCUUUUAUCAUUUCAUAUAGUUUGGUGAUCUUUCCAUAUCACUACAUAGAGAACUGCCUUCUUUCUUUUUUACUUUUUUUAGGUAUGCCCCCCCCCCUUUUUUUUUUUUUGGUGAGGAAGAUUGGCCCCGAGCUGACACCUGUUGCCAGUCUUCCUGUAUUUUGUAUGUGGGAUGCUGCCACAACAUGGCUGACAAGUGGUGUAGGUCUGUGCCUGGGAUCUGAACCCACAAACCUGGGUCACUGAAGCAGAGUGCACUGAACUUUAACCACGAGGUCAUGAGGCCAGCCCACAAUCUGACCACUUUUCAGUGUACGAUUCAGUGGCAUUAGUUACAUUCAUAAUGCUUUGCAACCAUCACCAUUAUCUCCUUCCCAAAUUUUUUGUCAUCUUAAACAGAAGCUCUACCCAUUAAGCAAUAACUCCCCAUUCCUUUCUCCCUCCAGCCCCCAUAACCUCUAACCUCCUUUCUGUCUCUAUGACUUGGCCUAUUCUGGAUAGUCCACAUUUGUGGAAUCAUACAACAUCUGUCCUUUUGUGUCUGGCUUCUAUCACUUAGCAUCACGUUUCCAUGGUUCAUCCAUGUGGUGGUAGCGUGCAUGAGUACUUCAUUCCUUUUUAUGGCUGAAUAAUAUUCCCUGGUGUGGAUAGACUGUAUUUUGUUUAUCCAUCCCCAGCUGAUGGAUGCUUGGUUUGUGUCCACCUGUUGGCUUCUGUGGAGAAGGCUGCUAGGAACAUUCACCUACAUGUAUCUGCUUCAGUCCCUGUUUUCGGUUCUUCGGGGUAUAUACACCUAGGAGUGGAAUUGCUGGUCCACGUGGUUAUGUUAAUUCUAUGUGUAACUUUUUAAAGACCAGUCAAAACGGUUUCCCACAGAGGCUGCACCAUUCUACACUCCCACCAGCAACGUACGAGGGUUCCAGUUUCUCCACAUCCUCCCCAACACUUAUUUUCCUUUUUAUUAUUAAUUAUUAUUAUUAUAGCCAUCCUAUUAGAUGUGAAGUGGUGUACAAUCUCAGCUUUUAUUCUCAUCAACCAUUAAGAUCUGGAAUAUCCAGCCCCUAUACGUUUGCCAAUUGAAUGUGUUAUCAAAUACUUUAAAUCUUUGCCUAAGAAGUGAAAAAUGGUAACUCACCGUCCAUCGUCUUAUUUUGCAUUUGUCUUGUGAUGAGGAAAUUGAGCAUCUUUUCUUGUGUUGAAGAACCACUUGCAUUUCUUUUCCCACGAUUUGUCUGUUAAUCAGCCUUUGCCCACUUUUCUGUGGUUCUGGCUCACGGGCUAUGUUUUAAAAAUACUGUAUUGGUUGCAAACCCUGAAAAACCGCAGGGCUGAUGUCACACAAAAGUCCAACUUUUAUCUCCAGCUUCCCUUGGAAACAGAAAGGCCCGGCAGCUUGAUUUGCACUCUCACGUGGAGCGAGUGGCUGGAAGAGGGGCCCCCUGUGGGAUCCACCGUCUCCCGCUGUCAUCGUCCCCACCCUGAGCUGUGGCGUGCCUGGGCUCUCACCCAUCACCAUACCUGCCUGGCCCUGUGGGCAUUGAUGGUGGCAGCUCCCGAGAUAAUCUUUUCAAAGCUCUUAGCCCAGAGCCCGGCCCUGCAGACCACGAUGCUGUGAGCAGAGGAAGGGGAUCUCAAAAACAGAGGCAGCUGGUCUCGUGUCAGUGAUGGCGCUUCAGGGACCAGUGAAUAAACUAGAGCGACAACUGCACGGCGAGGAUGUGCACAUUUGUCUUUGUUUUUGUCUUUUUUGAGGAAGAUUAGCCCUGACCUAACAUCUGCCAUCAAUCCUCCUCUUUUUGCUGAGGAAGACUGGCCCUGAGCUAACAUCCGUGCCCAUCUUCCUCUACUUUAUAUGUGGGAUGCCUGCCACAGCAUGGCUUGACAAACAGUGCCAUGUCUGCACCUGGGAUCUGAAUCGGUGAACACUGGGCCAGCCUGAGGAUGAGCACAUUCGGAGGGCAGAGAGUUAACAUGCAAAUGCAUUUCAGGUAGAGGAGUCUUCUGAAUGACGAAGGCAAGUUGCAAGGGGUGGGAUUUACGACAUGCUACCCCGAAAUAUGGCAUAUUGGAUAUUUUAAGCUGAAAGAGUUUGAGAAAAUGGCAGAAGCUGGAAUUAGAGACUGGGUCUUUAAUUAAAUUAAGACUGGGUCCUAAGAGUAAAUUUAAGAGCAAAGGAACACUUCUUCCUCCCCUACUCAAGAAACCCAUUUGGGGAACACAGAGAACACCAGCGCAGAUGGAGGCGUGGUGUCGGUGUAGGCUCAUGCGCUCGUGCACAGAUACAGACACACGCACUCGGAUCUGUAGGUGCACACGCAGAGGAAGCAUCGAGAAAAUAUUCUCAGCGCACGCCCCGCCCGGAGAGAGCCCCGCCUGCAGGCCCGGGCUGGGUUCUCCGCUCUGCCGGGGGCGCCGUGCGCACUAACGUCGGUGCUGUGGGUAGUUGGCACUGGAGUUGGCGAUUGGGACCAAGUAUCGUGUGCCCACUCUCUCCCUCCCUCAGCCCCGUGUAAAUGUCCCAACGUCCUCUCCCCGGAUCCUCCAUGGCUGCCAGGACAAACUCGAUGCUUUAAAACAACACAUGUUUCUUCUAUGCGGUUCUGGAGGUCAGAAGUCCAAAUUCAGCUUCACCGGGCGAGGAGGCAGGGCGUCGGCAGGGCCGCCUUCCUUCUGAGGCUCCGGGGAGAAUCCGCUCCGGCCUCUGGGGCGGCCGGCUCUCCUUGGCUUGUGGCUGCAUCGCUCCAGUCUCUGCCGCCCUCGUCGUAUUGCCCGCUCCUGUUCUGCAGCUGAGGCUCCCUCUGCGUCCCUUGUAAGGACUUGUGAUCACGUGUAGGGCCACCUGGAUAAUCUGGGCUGGCGUCCCCAUCUCAAGACCCUGUGAAGGCCCUUUUGCCGUAUAAGGUAACAUCCCCAAGUUCCAGGCAUUAGGACCUAGAUAAUUUUGGGGGCCAUUAUUCAGCCUAUCACAAACCAUAGAUCUUUUAUAAUACGAGUAGUCAUGAUCCUAAUAGUUGUCAGACAGUAAUGUUCCAUCAUUAUUAGCUCUCAAAUCUCAUGUGCCCGGUGCUGGGCUUAGAGAUCCAGGCCCGCUGUCUCAUCGAAGCUUCCUGCAAGCUCCCAUCACCAUCCCAAAGAUACAGGCGAAGACAACACAGGAGAGGGAGGAGCUGGAUUGGGCCGGGAGCCCGUGGCCACCAUCCUGGGCUGACCCCCUUAGGAGUGCAAGAAUCCCAGUUCCCCUCGGAUGCCCCCUUCCCUGGGGGGGUUUCCUGAGUCUUUGCGUAUGUUGGAUCUUACAAAUCCACUCAUUGAGGUGUUGGCCCCUUCACGAACUCCUCCUGCCAUCAUUUUGUGAUGCUGGCCCGCCUCCGCAGGAGCUGCCCAGCUGAAGCAGAGAACUGAGGACCGCGGGGUCCUCUCCGUGCCAGCGCACUGCGGGGACUCUGCAAACCAUGGUCACGCCCACACAGAUAAUACCUCCAGGCGAGCGCUGGGCAUGGUUUUCUCUGAGGCAGUUUGUGCCGGAUCUCGAGGCUGCAACCUGGAUGUCCUUUGAAGACCCGGACUUAGGAAGAAAGGGAGCCGGUGGCUUUUGUCAAGCUGGCCACCUGGGGGACCGGGAGUCUGUGGGUUGCCAGAGGGCUAAUGGCUUAUGAGAAGACAAUCUGAAAAGCAGUGUAUGAAUCUCAGAUCUCUUGCAAAGAAAUCUAGCCUUUCCUGGGGCAAAGACAGAGGAGAGCAGUGUUUACAGCUGAUGGUGUGUGUGCCUGGGGUGGGUUGCCCUACGACUUACAGGAGACAAAAUGUGUUUAUUACCAACUGUAAUAUGUUUUCGGGAAAAAACUAAAAACACGUGCCAGGCACACCAAACUAUAAGAUCUUGGUUAUUAUUGAUCAAAAUGAGGCUAAUUAAAAAAAGAAAAAGAGCAUGUUGAUUAAAAGAUGAUGUGGGGGUUUGGGAAAAGCCGACAUUUCGCUGUUCUAACAGAGAUGCAAGUUGGAAGUUUAUUUUGCUCUCCCCAUUGGUCUCCAGGUUGACGAAAUGACUCUGCUCCACAGAGUCAGUCAGGGACCCUGGUUCCUUCUAGGUGUUGGUCUUGUCUGUGUGGUCAGAGGGCUUGUUGUUGCUACCACAGCCCACUGCCUGUGCCUGGCUGCAAGGGAGUAUGGGAAAUAGAGACUUUCUUUCCGGGCGGGGUAAUAGAAUCU